GUCGAGGGGCAUCGCGGGAGCGAAGCUUGCUUUGCUCCGCCGGCGACCGGCGCACGGGUGAGUAACGCGUAUGCAACCUGCCCGUUUCAGCGGGAUAACCCGGAGAAAUCCGGCCUAAUACCGCAUGUGGCCGAGGGAAGGCAUCUUCUUUCGGCCAAAGGAGGCGACUCCGGAGACGGAUGGGCAUGCGUGACAUUAGCUUGUUGGCGGGGUAACGGCCCACCAAGGCGACGAUGUCUAGGGGUUCUGAGAGGAAGGUCCCCCACACUGGUACUGAGACACGGACCAGACUCCUACGGGAGGCAGCAGUGAGGAAUAUUGGUCAAUGGGCGAGAGCCUGAACCAGCCAAGUCGCGUGAAGGAUGACGGCCCUACGGGUUGUAAACUUCUUUUGUCAGGGAGCGAUUGGGUCCACGCGUGGGCUUAGCGAGAGUACCUGAAGAAAAAGCAUCGGCUAACUCCGUGCCAGCAGCCGCGGUAAUACGGAGGAUGCGAGCGUUAUCCGGAUUUAUUGGGUUUAAAGGGUGCGUAGGCGGAAUAUCAAGUCAGCGGUAAAAAUUCGGGGCUCAACCCCGUCGUGCCGUUGAAACUGAUGUUCUUGAGUGGGCGAGAAGUAUGCGGAAUGCGUGGUGUAGCGGUGAAAUGCAUAGAUAUCACGCAGAACUCCGAUUGCGAAGGCAGCAUACCGGCGCCCAACUGACGCUGAAGCACGAAAGCGUGGGUAUCGAACAGGAUUAGAUAUCCUGGUAGUCCACGCAGUAAACGAUGAAUGCUAAUUGUCCGGAGGGAUUGACCUCUGGG
RNAcentral lists this ribosomal RNA (801 nucleotides) under uncultured bacterium. Its description in RNAcentral is "bacterial SSU rRNA". It matches the Rfam family "Bacterial small subunit ribosomal RNA", at positions 61 to 843 of the family's 1533-position model. The record is from RNAcentral.